RNAcentral lists this ribosomal RNA (2075 nucleotides) under human metagenome. RNAcentral describes it as "bacterial LSU rRNA". It matches the Rfam family "Bacterial large subunit ribosomal RNA", at positions 3 to 2106 of the family's 2925-position model. The record is from RNAcentral.
UCAAGUUACAAAGGGCGCAGGGCGGAUGCCUUGGCACCAGGAGCCGAAGAAGGACGUGAUAAGCUGCGAAAAGCUGCGGGGAGGAGCAAAUAUCCAUUGAUCCGCAGGUAUCCGAAUGGGGAAACCCGGCAGAAAGAACUUCUGUCACCGUAUGAUGAAUCCAUAGUCAUACGGAGGGAACCCGGCGAACUGAAACAUCUAAGUAGCCGGAGGAAGAGGAAGAAACAUCGAAUCCCUAAGUAGUGGCGAGCGAAAGGGGACGAAGCCCAAACCAAGGAUUUAUCCUUGGGGUUGAGGACCACAUACGAAGAAGCAGUAGGUAGCAGAACGGUUUUGGGAAAGCCGGCCAAAGAGAGUGAAAGCCUCGUAUGCGAAACAGACUGUGAUUCAGUGGUAUCCGGAGUACUACGGGACACGAGAAACCCCGUAGGAAGCAGGGGGGACCACCCCCCAAGGCGAAAUACUACCUGGUGACCGAUAGAGUAUAGUACCGUGAGGGAAAGGUGAAAAGAACCCCGGGAGGGGAGUGAAAGAGAACCUGAAACCCUGUGUCUACAAGCUGCGGAAGAGCGACUAACGCUCGACCGUGUACUUUUUGUAGAACGGUCCGGCGAGUUGCCGUUGCUGGCAGGUUAAGUACUUAAGGUACGGAGCCGAAGGGAAACCAAGUCUUAAUAGGGCGGUAAGUCAGUAACGGCAGACCCGAAACCGGGUGACCUACCCAUGGCCAGGAUGAAGUCUGCGUAAAAGUGGAUGGAGGUCCGAACACACGUCUGUUGAAAAAGGCGGUGAUGAGCUGUGGGUAGCGGAGAAAUUCCAAUCGAACUCGGAGAUAGCUGGUUCUCCCCGAAAUAGCUUUAGGGCUAGCCUCGGUAUAGUCUAAUGGAGGUAGAGCACUGAAUCGCUGCGGGGGCGUCAAAGUCUACCAAUGCGUAUCAAACUCCGAAUGCCAUAUAGAUGUUUACCGGGAGUCAGACUGUAUGAGAUAAGUCGGACAGUCAAAAGGGAAACAGCCCAGACCAUCUGCUAAGGUCCCAAAGUGUAUGUUAAGUGGUAAAGGAUGUGGGGUUUCGAAGACAACUAGGAUGUUGGCUCAGAAGCAGCCAUUCAUUCAAAGAGUGCGUAAUAGCUCACUAGUCGAGAGGUCCUGCGCCGAAAAUGUCCGGGGCUGAAACAUAACACCGAAGCAAUGGAAUAUACCGCAAGGUAUGUUGGUAGGGGAGCAUUGAUAACACGAAGAAGCGGUACCGUAAGGAGUCGUGGAGAGUUAUCAAGAGAGAAUGCCGGAAUGAGUAGCGAGAUGAAGGUGAGAAUCCUUCAGGCCGUAUAUCCAAGGUUUCCAGGGUAAAGCUGAUCUUCCCUGGGGAAGUCGGGACCUAAGCUCAGGCUGAGAAGCGUAGGCGAUGGACAACUGGUUGAUAUUCCAGUACCUCUGGCUAUCAGAAAUGUGGGGACACGGAGAUUCAGGGAGUGCCUGUAAAGGAUUCAGGUGCAAGCAUGGUUUAUGCCGGGCAGGCAAAUCCGUCCGGGUAAGUGAACUGUGUGAUGCGGACCGAAAUAUAAGUAGGGAAGCUCCUGGGAGAGCCGUCGAGAAAAGCCGCUAUUGUGUAGUCAGAGCCCGUACCGUAAACCGACACAGGUGGAUGGGGAGAGUAUCCCAAGGCCGGCGGGAGAAGCAUUGUUAAGGAACUCGGCAAAAUGGCCCCGUAAGUUCGCGAUAAGGGGUGCCUGUAGAGAUACAGGCCGCAGAGAAUAGGCUCAAGCAACUGUUUAGCAAAAACACAGGUCUAUGCGAAACCGUAAGGUGAUGUAUAUGGGCUGACGCCUGCCCGGUGCUGGAAGGUUACGGGGAGUGCUUAGGAGUAAUCCGAAGGUACGAACUUAAGCCCCAGUAAACGGCGGCCGUAACUAUAACGGUCCUAAGGUAGCGAAAUUCCUUGUCGGGUAAGUUCCGACCCGCACGAAAGGCGUAAUGAUUUGAGCGCUGUCUCAACAAUGCACCCGGUGAAAUUGAAGUACCAGUGAAGAUGCUGGUUACCUGCGCCAGGACGGAAAGACCCCAUGGAGCUUUACUC